RNAcentral lists this transfer RNA (86 nucleotides) under Chloroflexota bacterium. Its description in RNAcentral is "Chloroflexi bacterium tRNA-Ser". It matches the Rfam family "tRNA". Rfam says of the family: Transfer RNA (tRNA) molecules are approximately 80 nucleotides in length. Their secondary structure includes four short double-helical elements and three loops (D, anti-codon, and T loops). Lineage: Bacteria; Bacillati; Chloroflexota. The record is from RNAcentral.
GGAGGGGUGUCUGAGUGGUCGAAAGUGCCGCCCUCGAAAUGCGGUAGGCGAGAGCCUCGCGGGUUCGAAUCCCGCCCCCUCCUCCA